GACGAACGCUGGCGGCGUGCUUAACACAUGCAAGUCGAACGGAGAUUUUUAUUUCGGUAAGAAUCUUAGUGGCAAACGGGUGAGUAACGCGUAGGCAACCUGCCUUUCCGAUGGGGACAACAGUUCGAAAGGACUGCUAAUACCGAAUGAUGUAUAUCUUCCGCAUGGAGGACAUACCAAAGACGGCCUCUAUUUAUAAGCUGUCACGGAAAGAUGGGCCUGCGUCUGAUUAGCCAGUUGGCGGGGUAAUGGCCCACCAAAGCGACGAUCAGUAGCCGGUCUGAGAGGAUG
RNAcentral lists this ribosomal RNA (291 nucleotides) under uncultured bacterium. RNAcentral describes it as "partial 16S ribosomal RNA". It matches the Rfam family "Bacterial small subunit ribosomal RNA", at positions 28 to 302 of the family's 1533-position model. The record is from RNAcentral.